GCGCCCGUAGCUCAACUGGAUAGAGCAGUGGACUACGGAUCCACGGGUUGGGGGUUCAAGUCCUCUCGGGCGCGCCA
RNAcentral lists this transfer RNA (77 nucleotides) under Clostridia bacterium. RNAcentral's name for it is "tRNA-Arg". It matches the Rfam family "tRNA". Rfam says of the family: Transfer RNA (tRNA) molecules are approximately 80 nucleotides in length. Their secondary structure includes four short double-helical elements and three loops (D, anti-codon, and T loops). The record is from RNAcentral. RNAcentral also lists the same sequence under 1 other name. Lineage: Bacteria; Bacillati; Bacillota; Clostridia.